GCCCAGACUCCUACGGGAGGCAGCAGUGAGGAAUAUUGGUCAAUGGUCGGGAGACUGAACCAGCCAAGCCGCGUGAGGGAGGAAGGUACAGAGUAUCGUAAACCUCUUUUGUCAGGGGACAAAGACUGGGACGCGUCCCCGGAUGAGUGUACCUGAAGAAAAAGCAUCGGCUAACUCCGUGCCAGCAGCCGCGGUAAUACGGAGGAUGCGAGCGUUAUCCGGAUUUAUUGGGUUUAAAGGGUGCGCAGGCGGAGAAUCAAUGCGGCGGUAAAAUUGGGGGGCUCAACCUCUUCGAGCCGUUGAAACUGGUUUUCUUGAGUGAGCGAGAAGUAUGCGGAAUGCGUGGUGUAGCGGUGAAAUGCAUAGAUAUCACGCAGAACUCCGAUUGCGAGGGCAGCAUACCGGCGCUCAACUGACGCUCAUGCACGAAAGUGUGGGUAUCGAACAGGAUUAGAUACCCCCGUAAG
Molecule: ribosomal RNA, 467 nt
Filed under: uncultured bacterium
Lineage: Bacteria
Description: bacterial SSU rRNA
Rfam family: Bacterial small subunit ribosomal RNA
Source: RNAcentral